GGGGCUGACCGGUUUUGACAGCGGGUAGAAGUGGUUUGUAAGCAUGCAGUGCCUCGUUGGCCAGCACUCAAAUCUCGGCUGAUGAACAAUUAACUGGCGAAGAAUCUUACGCUCUCGCUGCCUGAUUGAAGAACAGUAGGUCAAGGCUUAAUCCUUACACAAGGUGUUUGGACGAGACACCACCCGGAAGCCGUGGCUUCGAGGCCGUCCGAAUCGGUGGUGCAGCAAUUUCGGAGAUAGCCUGAUGGACGUCCCGGACGUCAGGUGAAACUUUAGGGAAUAAGGUUGCGGUUGGUGGCUCUGGUCUUGCCGCAGCACGAAAAUGAAGGCAGAGAUAAGCAUGUAGAAAGCGGAUCAAUUCCUCGUUUGGACGAGAGUUCGACUCUCUCCAGCUCCACCA
This is a non-coding RNA of Tannerella sp., 400 nucleotides long. The record is from Rfam. NCBI's taxonomy places the organism in Bacteria, Pseudomonadati, Bacteroidota, Bacteroidia, Bacteroidales, Tannerellaceae.